CAGCAGUCGCCACGGUAAUACGGAGGGUGCAAGCGUUAUCCGGAUUUAUUGGGUUUAAAGGGUCCGUAGGCGGAUCUGUAAGUCAGUGGUGAAAUCUCACAGCUUAACUGUGAAACUGCCAUUGAUACUGCAGGUCUUGAGUAAAUUUGAAGUGGCUGGAAUAAGUAGUGUAGCGGUGAAAUGCAUAGAUAUUACUUAGAACACCAAUUGCGAAGGCAGGUCACUAAGAUUUAACUGACGCUGAUGGACGAAAGCGUGGGGAGCGAACAGGAUUAGAUACCCGAGUAGUCCCUGUCUCUUAUAC
Molecule: ribosomal RNA, 304 nt
Filed under: uncultured bacterium
Lineage: Bacteria
Description: partial 16S ribosomal RNA
Rfam family: Bacterial small subunit ribosomal RNA
Source: RNAcentral